Molecule: transfer RNA, 90 nt
Filed under: Elusimicrobia bacterium RIFOXYB2_FULL_49_7
Lineage: Bacteria; Pseudomonadati; Elusimicrobiota
Description: tRNA-Ser
Rfam family: tRNA
About the family: Transfer RNA (tRNA) molecules are approximately 80 nucleotides in length.
Source: RNAcentral
GGAGAGGUGUCCGAGUUGGUUGAAGGAGCACGACUGGAAAUCGUGUAAACCUCUAAAAGGGUUUCGCGGGUUCGAAUCCCGCCCUCUCCG